GAUGAACGCUGGCGGCGUGCCUAAUACAUGCAAGUCGAGCGAACAGACGAGGAGCUUGCUCCUCUGACGUUAGCGGCGGACGGGUGAGUAACACGUGGAUAACCUACCUAUAAGACUGGGAUAACUUCGGGAAACCGGAGCUAAUACCGGAUAAUAUAUUGAACCGCAUGGUUCAAUAGUGAAAGACGGUUUUGCUGUCACUUAUAGAUGGAUCCGCGCCGCAUUAGCUAGUUGGUAAGGUAACGGCUUACCAAGGCAACGAUGCGUAGCCGACCUGAGAGGGUGAUCGGCCACACUGGAACUGAGACACGGUCCAGAGUCCUACGGGAGGCAGCAGUAGGGAAUGUUCCGCAAUGGGCGAAAGCCUGACGGAGCAACGCCGCGUGAGUGAUGAAGGUCUUCGGAUCGUAAAGCUCUGUUAUUAGGGAAGAACAAAUGUGUAAGUAACUAUGCACGUCUUGACGGUACCUAAUCAGAAAGCAACGGCUAACUACGUG
This 497-nucleotide ribosomal RNA is filed under the name uncultured bacterium. RNAcentral describes it as "partial 16S ribosomal RNA". It matches the Rfam family "Bacterial small subunit ribosomal RNA", at positions 28 to 507 of the family's 1533-position model. The record is from RNAcentral.